Molecule: ribosomal RNA, 383 nt
Filed under: uncultured bacterium
Lineage: Bacteria
Description: bacterial SSU rRNA
Rfam family: Bacterial small subunit ribosomal RNA
Source: RNAcentral
AUUGAACGCUGGCGGCAUGCCUUACACAUGCAAGUCGAACGGCAGCACGGGGGCAACCCUGGUGGCGAGUGGCGAACGGGUGAGUAGUACAUCGGAACGUGCCCCGUAGCGGGGGACAACCAGUCGAAAGACUGGCUAAUACCGCAUACGCUCCACGGAGGAAAGCAGGGGAUCGCAAGACCUUGCACUAUGGGAGCGGCCGAUGCCCGAUUAGCUAGUUGGUGAGGUAAAGGCUCACCAAGGCAACGAUCGGUAGCUGGUCUGAGAGGACGACCAGCCACACUGGGACUGAGACACGGCCCAGACUCCUACGGGAGGCAGCAGUGGGGAAUUUGGACAAUGGGCGCAAGCCUGAUCCAGCCAUGCCGCGUGCGGGAAGAAGG